UUCUGCAGCUCUAACAUCAUAAAACUCUAUAUAUUUGUGAUGGCUUCUAUGCUGAGUCUCGCGGAUCUCCUUAAUCUCCCCAUAUACACCAAAUAUUUGUCGAAGUUCAUCAUUUGAAACAGAGGAAUCAAGGUUGAAAACCAGGAGAGUCCCUUGGUUGGCAUUUUUUUCUGAUGGAUUGUCCUUGGGAAUAGAGAAAUGUAUGUCUAGCUUCCUGCGUCUCAGUGGAUUGUUCUGAAGAGCUUUCAUGGCAUUCUGUGAUGCUCGAAUAUCAUAAUAAGAUAUCAUAACAAAACCGCGAUGUUUGCAUGCUGUAUAUAGCGUGCGA
Molecule: unclassified non-coding RNA, 328 nt
Filed under: Hevea brasiliensis (rubber tree)
Lineage: Eukaryota; Viridiplantae; Streptophyta; Magnoliopsida; Malpighiales; Euphorbiaceae
Source: RNAcentral